GAAGAGCCCGACGUGGCUCCCGGACGAGGUGUGCCGUACCCGGUGUGCGACAAGACGGCGCCUG
This 64-nucleotide non-coding RNA is filed under the name Nocardioides sp. The record is from RNAcentral. Lineage: Bacteria; Bacillati; Actinomycetota; Actinomycetes; Propionibacteriales; Nocardioidaceae. RNAcentral also lists the same sequence under 1 other name.